AAUAUGAAGGUUUGUGUGCGGUGAAGACGUGCAGUACGAUAGACAGCCUCGGGGAAUAGUGUGUAUCGCAUGACGGAGUGGAGGCUGCAAUUAGAGCAUCUACCGAUGUUGAUUUUGAAACAUAGCCCAAAAAGCUGGCAGGAAAAUAUUACUGAAAGGAAAUUCCUCUGAAACUUGUGUCCUUGAACUGUGCUUGUUGUGGGUCACGGGGAACCUGGAGCCUAUCCCAGGGAGCAUCGGGCACAAGGCGGGGUACACCCUGGACAGGGUGCCAAUCCAUAGCAGGGGGUAUAAAUAUGAGGCUACACAUAAGCCAAAUUCCCCUAGUCAUUCACAACAAUGAUUAAGACCAAGGAAUAUAGCUGUGAUGUGCAGCAAAAGGUUGUUGAGCUUCACAAAAUGGGAAGUGGCUUUAAGAAAAUAGCACAAGCAUUGAAAAUGCCCAUUUCCACCAUGAGGGCAAUAAUUAAGACGUUUCAGUCAACUGGAAAUGUUAUCAAUCAACCUGGAAGAGGACGUGUGUCUAUAUCGUCUCAACGCACUGUGAAGAGGAUUGUUUGAGUGGCCAAAAAAUCUCUAAGGAUCACAGAUGGAGAAUUGCGAAUUGGAUCAGAAAGUCCCCAAAACUACAAUCUGAAGUCACCUACAUCACCACAAGCUGUUUGGAAGGAUUUCAAGAAAAAAGCCUCUACUCUCAUCCAAAAACAAACUCAAGCAUCUUCAGUUUCCCAGAAACUACUGGAACUUCAAAUGGGAUCGGGUUCUAUGGUCAGAUGAAACCAAAAUAGAGCUUUUUGGUAAUAAACACAGAGGUGGUUUUUGGCGAACACAGAGAGGUAGCCAUAUGGAAAAGUACCUCAUGCCCACGGUUAAAUAUGGUGGAGGCUGUUUUGUGGCUGUUUUUCUGCCAGAGGACCUGGACAUUUUGUUAGGACACAUGGCAUCAUGGACUCUAUCAAAUAUCAACAGAUAUUAAAUGAAAUCCUGACUGUCCAAUGCAGAUUUGUGAUUUGUGUAUAUCACUUUCAUCCAAUCAUCCACACUCCAUGAUUGCUUCCCUUUAGCCCAGUGUAACCUUGUUUUCUUCUGUUUAGGUAUUAGUGCUGGUUUUCAUUUGGCUUUUCUCUAUAUAAAUCCCAUUUCAUACAGCCAAUUUCUUACAGUUCUGUCACAAAGAUUGACUCCUGUUUCCACCCAUUUGUUUUUCAUUUGUUUAGUUGUGCAUUUUCUAUUUUUGAGUCAUAUUGCUUUGACUUUUCUAUCCUGACGUUUGCCAUCUUGCUUGGUAUACCUGUAUGUUUUCCUUUUAUAACCUUCCCAUUUUGUUUAUACUUGCACCAAAUUUUUGACACAGCUGACUGGGACCAACCAACAUCUUUUUCCAUACUCUGUGUUGGAUUUACACAGAGUUUUAUAAUCCUUUCCAUUGUUUCAAUUGACAACCCUGUUGUUGCAGCUAUGUUUCCUUUCAGAAAGUCCAAGGUUAAGCUCUGCAAGUGCUCUCUUUUAACUGCAGACUUAUUAGCAUUUUUUGACAUGUGCUGGUAUUUGUUUCAGAAAUGGAAAUUACAAGGUGAUUCCAUGUUUUGUUUCUCAACAUAGAGUGAUUCCAUAUUUUUUAUCUCUGAAAAAACAAUAUGCCAUUAAUUAAAAUAAUUCAGGUUCAUUUGUUUGAGGUAUGUUUCACAAAGCCAGAAUGUUCACCUAUUAAACAAUGACAC
Long non-coding RNA from Ictalurus punctatus (channel catfish), 1721 nucleotides. The record is from Ensembl. Lineage: Eukaryota; Metazoa; Chordata; Actinopteri; Siluriformes; Ictaluridae.